GGAGACAACAGCUCCCAUGGCACUAUGGCAGAGACCUGGCACAUCCACGGUCUUCCCUGGCAGGUCUUCUGAAGUCUUCCUGAAAGCAUCCCUGGUGAUCUGUGAGCCCUUGGUCGUGUUGCCCGCCUUCUUCCUGUGGGUCUUGCUGGAUGCUCAUUGUCCCUGUGAGCCGAGGCCCUGGAGGCUUCAGAUUUAGGUGAUGUUGCCACGUAUGACUGUCCAUCAGCCAGGAGAUGAACCCCCCACCCGUGAGGCAGUGACUCAAGGUGCAAGGGAGUCCGGCAAGAAGUGUGGCGCACCCGAGUUGCUGCCACUGCUUUUUGGAUCACCCAGCACGGUGAUGUUGCCACGUAUGACUGUCCAUCAGCCAGGAGAUGAACCCCCACCCGUGAGGCAGUGACUCAAGGUGCAAGGGAGUCCGGCAAGAAGUGUGGCGCACCCGAGUUGCUGCCACUGCUUUUUGGAUCACCCAGCACGGUACGGCUUCUCCUGCCCCAAGACGUGUCGUGAAUUUCAGGUUUCCUGGGACUGCCUGAGUGGUUGUUCGUAUAGAGGGACCGUUCCUCUUGCUGAGAAGCCUGAGGGCUCUGAGUUCCCCUGGCUGCUGGAGGACUCCCGGGUCACUGGCUCCUCCUGGGAGCAGCCCUUCCUGCCGUGAGGAGGUGGGCAGCAAGCCAGCACGUGCUCGGAUCGAUGAUGACACCCUCACAUGCAUUCCUUGGAAAAUCUGAACAAAAUGAGUGAGAAACUCAAUACCGUCUCCUCGUCGAACUGAGGUCCCAGCACGUUGCCUCCCUUGGGGUUAAGG
This 808-nucleotide long non-coding RNA is filed under the name Bos indicus x Bos taurus (hybrid cattle). RNAcentral's name for it is "lncRNA (ENSBIXG00000029509.1)". The stretch from base 688 to 780 matches the Rfam family "Small nucleolar RNA SNORD116". Lineage: Eukaryota; Metazoa; Chordata; Mammalia; Artiodactyla; Bovidae. The record is from RNAcentral.